GGAGAAUCUGGUGAGAAUCAGCUUAGUGUUUUUUUACAACGGGGAGAAGACGAUGAUACUUUCCAGCUUCAAAAGCUUCUUUAUUUAUUAUUAUUUGAGCUCCUUAUUCUACCCAAGCAAUGGUUUUGAGGUGAUCCAGCCACAGAAUAAGACUAAUAACCCAGAUACAGUUUUCAUCAGCUGUAACUUUACAGCAAACACUGGGACAAUUGUAGAUGUUCGACUCAACAAGGUUUUACCAGAGAAAAAGAUGCUCUGCCAGACUGAAUCUGAAGCCUGUCAUAACAUUAUCGUACUUAAAGACGCUCCAUUCAAGUACAUUUUCAUCUUACUCAAUGCUGGGCCAGAGGCAUGGACCUCAAAGUAUGAAUGUGAGUGGUCAGCAACAAAUAAGGAUGGGACGGACAAAACCGUGACAAGUGCAGCAAACAAAUUAAUUAAACUGCAACUACAAGGUCAACUGGGAACCACACCACAGUGUACUCCUCCCCCUUCACCUCCUCCCCCUCAGUCCCAUCAGCUCAUGUGGAUUUUGAUUGGUCUGCUGGCCCUGAUGUUUGUGUACAGCUGUAUCAUCACCUCCUUCUACAUGAGGCUUAUGAUGUUUGUUAUCAUCUUGCCCGGACGCAACGUUAAAAGGUCCACAAAGCAGCUGAAAGCAGCUUUUAUGAUGGUCAGCCAGGUAAUAGAUGAAGGGAGAUGUUUUGGUAGAGAUUUUUACACAGCCGUAGUUCAUUUUCUAAAUGAGAAAGAAUUCAGGUUUAAACUUUUAUAUAAGGUCUAUGAUAUGACCACAGCUUUCACUGUUGUUGAGGGCUUCGGGAGCUUCUUUUGAUCGUUGUUAUUUUGAGACUUUCUUAGUCUGAAAUCAUAUUUGUUUGUUUUUCCAAUUACAAUUUAAAAAGAUUUUUGUUUCCAACUCAGUAUAAGCUGUUUAUAAGCUGCUUUGAAAUUCUGCUUUUUUUACAUUCACAACAGACGAUACAAAGCCAUAAAAUAAUUGUUCAGCUCAUAACAACACACAGUGGAUGUUCCGUGUCAACCUCAAGAGUUCUUUGAAAUGAAACAUCAAACUGACCCACACAGAUUUUUAUUGACAUCAGACAUUGUUACAGUUAGACACACACAAGUUAAAUUUAUAAUGUUUCCUAAUAAGCUGACUGUAAAUAUGAAAUGCACAAAAGCAGGACGUCCCCAAAACUGAAUGCAGUUUUAAUGCAUCAUUUUCUGCUAUGAGACUGUAAAACGCCUGCUGAGCAAUAGGCUCCAGCCCUUGUAACAUAACUAAUGUGAAAUUAGUCUAUAAGGUGUUCUUUAGAGUUAAAAGACUUUCAAAUACUUACUGCUUUUCUUUGUUACAUAAAUUCCAUC
This is a long non-coding RNA of Astatotilapia calliptera (eastern happy), 1371 nucleotides long. NCBI's taxonomy places the organism in Eukaryota, Metazoa, Chordata, Actinopteri, Cichliformes, Cichlidae. The record is from Ensembl.